UUAUUUUUAACAUGAAGGCAAUGAAGAAAUACUACGUGUCCUCGUGCUGAUAAUGUGCCGUGCUUGUGUGGCGACAGAAAGUAAACACGAUUUGCGGUGCUGCCAUCUAGACAAAGUGCUGCGGGAUACUUUUGUUUCAGUUUACACUUCACAGAGCUCACGGAGCAGCACGUUGUUGAGUGUCUGUCUGAAAUACUCCAAACUUUAGACUGUCAAAGGCGGAGCUUGUCCGGGAUAAUCCCACAUCGGAUGCAGCGACGCGUCGCGUGUUUACGUAAUCAAUUACGUCGUUGAAUCGCCCCAGCCUUGGACCUAUUGUCCUCACUGCUUGAUCAUCGUUGCUCCUAACCUGGUUCACUCACCCUCGUCCUCUGUCAGCUGGGCUCGCUCACCUGCCCUCUCCCCUCGGACUUCCCCCACAGCGUCCUCCCAGCUCUCGUGCCUCCCUAGUCAGCCUGCCACCACACUCCUCCACCAACCCCCAGAUCAGUUCUCCCGUGCCUCCUCUCUUCCUCAGCCCCCCAGGGUCCCUCGGCUCUCUGGUCUGUCUCCUCGGUUCCCCGUGCCUGCGUUUCCCCGGUGUCCACCUCUCCCUCAACUCCAGUCCCUUAACCCCUUUUUUCCCUAAUAAAGCCAUUUAAUCUUGA
Molecule: long non-coding RNA, 647 nt
Organism: Micropterus dolomieu (smallmouth bass)
Lineage: Eukaryota; Metazoa; Chordata; Actinopteri; Centrarchiformes; Centrarchidae
Exons: 2
Source: RefSeq, a predicted model, not a curated record